UCUUACAGUUCUGAAGGCUGGGAAGUCCAAGAGCAUCUGGCAAGGGCCUUCAUGCUGCAUCAUCCCGUAGCAGAAGUGUUGCUGGGACUGAUGAGAUCAAGACAGGAUGAGAACAUGUCAACAGUAUUAAAUUCAUGUUGUCUGGCACUGCUGAGCUUUAGGGCUAUGAUAAUGAGAAGCACUGGAUCCCAAGAUUGAAGCUCACAGGAGAAGUGGAGCCAUGAGAUCGGGACCCAACAAAGAGACCCCAGAAUUGCAGAGCUACUGGCAUGCAAUGCCAGCCUGGGAGAGCUGAAGCAUGGCCUCAGAACAGGAAAGCCAUAGAAGUGGAGCUACCUAAGGACUUGGGGACCCAACCCCCAGACCAGCAUGCAGAGGAUAUUGAACAUGGAGUCCAGGUACAUGAUUUGCCAGCUUUGAGAUCUGAUGCCUGCCCUACUGGUUUUUGGACUUGUUUGGGACCUGUUACUCCUUUCUUUUGGCUCAUUUUUUCCUUUUGAGCAAGAAUAUGUACCCUAUCCUACCAUUGUAUUUGGCAGUAGGUAACUUGUUUUGAUUUCACAGAUGGGACCUUGAGACUUUGAACUUUUGAGUUAAAACAAGUUAAGACUUUGGGGAGUUAAAACGUUAAGACAUUUCAAAAUACAUUUGAAAUGAAUGUAUUUGUAUGUGAAAAGGACAUGAGUUUUGGGGGGCCAGGGACAGAAUGCUUUGGAUUGAAUGUCCCCCCAAAACCUAUUCCCCACUGUAACUGUUAAGAGUGAGAAAUCCUAUUAUGGUAGUUGAAAGGUGGGGCCUUGAAGAGGUGAUUGGAUUGUGAGGACCGUACACUCAUGAAUAGAUUGAUCCAUUCUUGGAAUAAUGAGAGCAGUUCUGGUGGCUUUAAAAGGAGAGUGGGAGCUGGCCAGUUAGCACAGUAGGUUAGAGCACAGUGUUGUAACACCAAGGUCAAGGAUUCGGAUCCUCUUUACUGGCCAGCCACCACAAAAAAAAUAAAAUAAAAUAAAAUAAUAAAAUCACAAAAAAAAAGGAUAGUAAAUGAGGAAGUUAGUCUCUCUGCUCCACCAUUCUGCCAUUUAAGACCCCCAUGUCACUGUCACCACUAACAAGGCCUUCACCAGAUGUGUUCCCUGAACUUUGGACUUCCCUGCCUCUGAAACU
Molecule: long non-coding RNA, 1161 nt
Organism: Cynocephalus volans (Philippine flying lemur)
Lineage: Eukaryota; Metazoa; Chordata; Mammalia; Dermoptera; Cynocephalidae
Exons: 3
Source: RefSeq, a predicted model, not a curated record